This 875-nucleotide long non-coding RNA is filed under the name Brachypodium distachyon (stiff brome). RNAcentral describes it as "long non-coding RNA (BDIS_LNC001046)". The record is from RNAcentral. Lineage: Eukaryota; Viridiplantae; Streptophyta; Magnoliopsida; Poales; Poaceae.
AAGAGAUCAACUGUCGGUUGUCGGCGGUUUGCGCUUCGGUGGCGGCUCAGGCUUUGGUUCGGGUUUGGGUUCUGGUUUAGGCAUCGGUUCAGGCUUGGGCUCGGGUUUUGGUUCAGGUUUAGGCAUGGGCUUAGGCAUGGGCUCAGGCUUUGGUUCUGGUUUAGGCAUUGGCUUAGGCUUGGGUUCGGGUUUUGGCUCUGGUUUGGGCAUUGGCUCAGGCUUGGGUUCUGGUUUAGGCAUGGGCUCAGGCUUUGGUUCCGGUUUAAUUGGCUCAGGCUUCGGUUCCGGCUUAGGCAUUGGCUCGGGCUUGGGCUCAGGUUUUGGCUCAGGUUUAGGCAUUGGCUCGGGUUUGGGCUCAGGUUUAGGCUCAGGUUUAGGCACUGGCUCAGGCUUAGGCUCGGGUUUAGGCUCAGGUUUAGGCACUGGCUUAGGCAUGGGCUCGGGUUUUGGUUCCGGUUUAGGCAUUGGCUCAGGUUUGGGCUCGGGUUUAGGCUCGGGUUUAGGCAUUGGCUUAGGCAUGGGCUCGGGUUUUGGUUCCGGUUUGGGCAUGGGCUCUGGUUUUGGCUCGGGUUUUGGCAUUGGCUUAGGCAUGGGCUCUGGUUUUGGUUCCGGUUUAGGCAUCGGCUCAGGUUUCGGCUCUGGUUUAGGCAUUGGUUUGGGCAUUGGUUCCGGCUUGGGCUCUGGCUUCGGCUCGGGCUUGGGCAUGGGUUCAGGUUUGGGCUCAGGUUUCGGUCCCGGUUUGGGCAUUGGUUCUGGCUUCGGCUCAGGUUUCGGUUCAGGUUUAGGCAUGGGUUCAGGUUUCGGUUCAGGUUUUGGCUCUGGUUUUGGCAUGGGCUUGGGCUCCGGUUUUGGCAUGGGUUUUGGUUCCGGCUUUG